This 1471-nucleotide unclassified non-coding RNA is filed under the name Hevea brasiliensis (rubber tree). Lineage: Eukaryota; Viridiplantae; Streptophyta; Magnoliopsida; Malpighiales; Euphorbiaceae. The record is from RNAcentral.
AAAUGUGAAGACAGUAGUUUUUUUAUUUUUUCUCUUUUACUGAUAGUCUGAUUGUAAGUAAAAUGAAGAGUUAACUUGAAGUAUUGAGACAUAAGGAGGCUGAAAGUAGGUUUUUUGGAUUGGAGAGUUGACUGGAAGCUUGGGAUAGCCGCUACUGCUGCUGUUGCCGCCUAUUGCUUGCAAUUUAUAUGGUAACAGCAGCCAUAAAGGCUUACUAUUUGUUAUCCAAAAAAAAAAAAAUCCAUUGCAUAUUGGCAGUAGUGGUAACCCCAAAAUUCGAUAUUUAACAGCCAUUAGUUAGCUGUUGUUUAAAUCCAUUGUUGACUGUCUUACUGAACAAUGAAGUAACAUGCAUCUUACCUUACAGUUAGCAAGGGAAAGCACACCAGAUGAGGAUGUUGGCCUCCCACAACUGCAAUUACUACCACAAUAGGAUUCCAUAUCCUCUUUCUUUCUGGUUACUUUCUUAUGUCUUCUUCUUCUUCUGUUGUUGAGGCCUGAGGACAAAAGGAGGAGAAGAAAGGAGGGGGGCGGGCACAAGCAGAUAGAAAUCCAGGUGUAUAAGGCAAUCAAACCCUCUGGCAUAUGAUUUGAUUCAGUUUUAGGUGUUUGGUUCAUUGGUUUAAAAGAGAAUGAUUACUUUUUUAUUGAUAAUGUGUUGGUUUGAAAUGGAUUGAAGAGAGAAUGUUCUUUUAUCAGGAUUUCUACAACAGUCACAGAACCCAUAUUAUCCAGCUGGGUUGACCUGCAGUCAACUUGAGCUUAUCAAGAAGACUAUUUACCCUUUGGCUAGAGAGAGAAAUAAUGCCACAUCAGCAAAUUGUUCCAGCUAAUUUUUUAUGAUGCAUUAGUUAGUGUACAUGUCAAGCACGCGUGCUGACAUGUUUGAACAGGAUUGAAAGUAAAAGUCAAGUGACUUAAUAGGUCAACAUAAAAGUAUGAAGGUUAGAGAGUGUUUGGUUUAAUUACUUAUUUUAAAUUUUGAUUUAAAAUGUAUUUUAAACUUAUAUGUCAAUUUAAAAAUAAGUAUUUAAUUGUUUGGUAAAACUAAUUAAAAUUAACUUUUAAAUAGUUUAAAUAUUUUGUUAAAAGGUGCUUAAAAAUAACUUAAUCUGUUAAAAUGACCAGAAAGGAUAUGUAAUUGAGUGUUGCGGUUGUUAAAAUAAGGAUAGUGCUGAUAUUUUUAAAAAUUAUUAUGAUAAUUAAGUCUUUUACUUGGUCAAAUAGUAGUUUUAAAAUAAAUAGAUUAGUUAUAAGUAAAUAUAAUCUUACUUAUGACUUGUGACUUAUUUUAAGUAAUUUGUAACUCAUAAGUCAACUUAAAUAUUAAUCUACUUACAAUUUUUUACUUAUAAGUAAAUUUAAUUGACUUAUAAGCUAAACCAAGCACACCACUUAGGGGCUUUCAUAUGGUUUAUUUCUUUCUUUAGCACAUGAUUUUCACACAAGUAGGGUGCUUCAUCUUCAAUGC